CGUGUACACAUCCUGCUCUCUCUCUCUCCUCUCUUAUUCACCCCACGAUCUCCUCUCUCCCAUCCAUCUCGUUCUCUGCUCUCCUCUCGUCUUUCCCACUGACCGACCUCCUCCCUCUGCCCGAGAUCCAGCAACAGCAGCGGCGCCCGGCGCUUGGAGGACCUGCAGCGGCACCGUCGGAUCCACCGGCCACGACCCCGUCGCGGAUCCGGCACGGAGGCCACCGGAUCUGGCCUCUCUUGUCCUCCCGCGCGCGUCCUCCUCCCUCGAGCUCCUGCAGCAGCGGCCGCGGAGGACCAUGGAGCAGCAGUGCUUGGAGGCCUUGCACCGGCGCCCCCGACCCUGCCCGCGGUCGGAUCUGGCGCCCCCGAUGUGAAGCAAUGCCAUAUUUCUUGAUCUUGUUUCUGUCCAAGCUAGGGUUCUUGAUCUGCUUUGUGUCCAUGUCGUGUGUUUGUGACGCGGCGAGCUGCCGAUUCCGGCCGGCAUUCCGGCCUGUAUUUUUUUAAAUCGUGAAAUUAGUAUUGGUGUCGGUCGCA
Long non-coding RNA from Brachypodium distachyon (stiff brome), 536 nucleotides. RefSeq lists it as uncharacterized. NCBI's taxonomy places the organism in Eukaryota, Viridiplantae, Streptophyta, Magnoliopsida, Poales, Poaceae. The transcript is spliced from 2 exons. The record is from RefSeq and is a predicted model, not a curated record.